Molecule: regulatory RNA element, 84 nt
Organism: Photobacterium profundum SS9
Lineage: Bacteria; Pseudomonadati; Pseudomonadota; Gammaproteobacteria; Vibrionales; Vibrionaceae
Rfam family: Fluoride riboswitch aptamer (crcB RNA motif)
Source: Rfam
AUUAUGACGGGAGAUGAUGUUCCUCCUUUAACUGCCUUACUGAAGUUUACCCUUCUUAAUAAGGAUGAUGACGUCUAACAACAU